AUUGAACGCUGGCGGCAUGCUUUACACAUGCAAGUCGAACGGUAACAGGUUAAGCUGACGAGUGGCGAACGGGUGAGUAAUGCAUCGGAACGUGCCCGAUCGUGGGGGAUAACGCAGCGAAAGCUGCGCUAAUACCGCAUACGAUCUGAGGAUGAAAGCGGGGGACCGUAAGGCCUCGCGCGAUCGGAGCGGCCGAUGUCAGAUUAGGUAGUUGGUGGGGUAAAGGCCCACCAAGCCGACGAUCUGUAGCUGGUCUGAGAGGACGACCAGCCACACUGGGACUGAGACACGGCCCAGACUCCUACGGGAGGCAGCAGUGGGGAAUUUUGGACAAUGGGCGAAAGCCUGAUCCAGCAAUGCCGCGUGCAGGAAGAAGGCCUUCGGGUUGUAAACUGCUUUUGUACGGAGCGAAAAGGUCCUUUCUAAUACAAGGGGCUCAUGACGGUACCGUAAGAAUAAGCACCGGCUAACUACGUGCCAGCCGCCGCGGUAA
Molecule: ribosomal RNA, 493 nt
Filed under: uncultured bacterium
Lineage: Bacteria
Description: partial 16S ribosomal RNA
Rfam family: Bacterial small subunit ribosomal RNA
Source: RNAcentral